GAUGACAGAAUCAGCUUUUGAUCGGUGCAGUGGUGCAGUCUCAGCUCACUGCAGCCUCAAACUCCUGGGCAGCUCAGGUGAUCUUCCCGACUCAGCCUUCUGAGUAGUUGGGGAUACAGAGUCUUGCCAUGCUGUCCAGGCUGGAGUGCAGUGGUGUGAUCUCGGCUCACUGCAACCUCCACCUCCCGGGCUCCAGCAAUCCUCCCACCUCAGCCUCCCUAGGAGCUGAGACUACAGUGCACAGCCAGAGAACAACACAUCACACACAGGAAACAGUUGUGCUCAUGUGAUGGGGGCCUCAGCACUAGGAAGGAGUGGACUAUUGGCGCAUGUAGCAGCUUGAAUAAAUCUGAAAGUCACUACACUGCGUAAGAGAAGCCAAAUAAAAAAGUUCAUGCUGUGUACAGAGGGUGUUGAGAAUGCCUCCUACGUGACGGAAAGCAGAUCCGUGGUUCCCUGCAGACCGGCAGGAGCAGAUUCCAAAGGCACAGGAAGAAGCUUGCAGCUUCUCAGAUGACCAAGAUGGUGCUGCCGAUGGUGUUGAGGACGGAGAACCCACCAAGCCCCGUUAGGAGCCACCUAGACUGGAUGCAGA
This 595-nucleotide long non-coding RNA is filed under the name Pongo abelii (Sumatran orangutan). RNAcentral describes it as "lincRNA". Lineage: Eukaryota; Metazoa; Chordata; Mammalia; Primates; Hominidae. The record is from RNAcentral.